AUCAUACAAAGUAAAUGGAAGAUACCGUGUUGGGUUAUUUUGUUGCUUGCUUUUGUUAAUGUGGUACCUUGGUUUAAUAGCAAAUGUUAUCUUUCAAUGUGGUGAUUCAGGACAUGGAUGAUACUUUGUUUUGAGUUAUUUUUUGUUUAGUCUAGUUGCUGGUGCUCCAAAUGAGAAUUAAAAAUCAUUGAUAAAAAGCAUAUGCUCAAAGCUGGAAAAGAAAAAAGUCUUGAAUAUUUCUCCCACAUCGAAUAUGAGACUAAACAUAAGCUUCCAAACUUAGUAUAAAACUUGAGGUCCUUGAACAAAGAAGCUCAUACCUUUCUCGGCCUUUUGGCUAAGAUCAAGUGUAGUAUCUGUUCUUAUCAGUUUAAUAUCUGAUAUGUGGACCAUUGGUUCACACGAUAUUAAAUUUAUUUUUUGAGGGGGGAAAGCCUGUCGAGGUAGCUUGCUAUCUGGGCUUUCGAGCGUCGCCUAUGCGUUGCACUACUGCACAUGCCUGGCGCAUCCCGCCAAUCGUAGUCUAAUCUUCUCUCAUCUCUAAUGAAACAAUGCUUAGUAGUUUUGAUGUUUUCGCGUUGAAUAAGUGGUAUAAUUUUGCUGGAGAAGAGUUGCUAUGUACGAAUAGAAUGAAAGCGUAAUGAGAGUCCAAGUAUCUGGAAUCGAAUGUAUAUGGAUCUCCAAAAAAAAAGGUGCAUAUUUGAGGCAACACUAAUCAUUCUACCACUAGAGCAAACACGCACACAACAUCAUCGACCUGAUUAGUGUCACGACAAUCCCCUCAGUUAUAUAUCUUAACUUUGGUGUCCCAUUUUAUAUCUGCACCUUUUUUCUUUGGUUUCCAAUUUUUUCUUGAAUUUUAAUUUCUAACGGUUUAGUACAAUCUAUUCUUAAGAUUAUUAAUCCAUUUUUACAUUGAUUCUAUAAUUUCAUAAUUAAUUUCAUUACAGUUACUCAAUCCAUAUUUUCCUAUUUGUAAUCUUUUAAAAUCUUCGUAAUAUUUAAAGUAGUGUAUGCAAAAUGUAUGCUAUGCAACUCUUUGGAUGCUAUUGUAUGUGCAUAUUGUUGUUUUCCAAAUGUCCUUCCUUUCAGCUUUAGCUCAUUGCAGACAAACUGAUGAAAUUUCUUGAAUUUAUUUAGCAGAAGUUGAAUCAUAAAUUGGGUAAUAAUCUGGCUCCGAGGCUGCUGCUGCAAAACCUGCUCCCAAUAUCAUAAUCAACCAUGAUUUUUCAGGUGGACUUCAUCACUGGCACCCCAACUGGUGUUUUGCCUAUGUCACUUCAGAACCAACUGCUCAUCCGCGAGGGCUAAGUGGCUGUUUUGCUGUUGUUGCGAACCGUAAAGAAUGCUGGCAAGGCCUGGAGCAGGACAUCACCAAUAGAGUCUCAGCAGGCUCCAUUUACACCAUCCGUGCUUGGGUUGGAGUGUCGAGCCUUCAAGGCGCCACAGACGUGCUGGCCACUUUGAGACUCGAAAGCAAUUUCUUUGCAGUUAGUGCUUCCGCUUCCACAGAUCACUGGGAGAAGCUAGAAGGCUCCUUCUCGCUGCCAAUUCUGCCCCGUUGUCUUGUCCUUUAUCUAGAAGGGCCUUGAUCUAUUUAUAAGAUCGGUUGUCGUCUCCUCCAACACCUCCAGUCAGCCUGAUCAGAAGUUGAAUCAUAAAUUGGGUAAUAAUCUGGCUCCGAGGCUGCUGCUGCAAAACCUGCUCCCAAUAUCAUAAUCAACCAUGAUUUUUCAGGUGGACUUCAUCACUGGCACCCCAACUGGUGUUUUGCCUAUGUCACUUCAGAACCAACUGCUCAUCCGCGAGGGCUAAGUGGCUGUUUUGCUGUUGUUGCGAACCGUAAAGAAUGCUGGCAAGGCCUGGAGCAGGACAUCACCAAUAGAGUCUCAGCAGGCUCCAUUUACACCAUCCGUGCUUGGGUUGGAGUGUCGAGCCUUCAAGGCGCCACAGACGUGCUGGCCACUUUGAGACUCGAAAGCAAUUUCUUUUCAGUUAGCUACAAGUUCAUUGCAAAAGCUUCUGCUUCCAUGGACCACUGAGAGAAGUUAGAAGGAACCUUCUCACUGCCAAUUCUGCCCCGUCGUGUUAUCCUUUAUCUUGAAGGGCCUUCUCCUGGCACUGAACUAUUUAUAAGAUCGGUUGUCGUAUCCUGCAACACCUCCAGUGUGUCUGAUAAAAACCACAAUGAUACACUUAACAUUAAAUGCCUUACUGUUAAGGACUCAAUCAUGAUUCACAACACUGAAAAACCACAAUGAUAAGGUGUAAAACCUCCUUUUGCUGCAUCAAAGUCUUUUCAGACUCCCAAUAUUUCUCUCUCUUCUGAAGUCCACGUUCGUCGUUUCUGGCAUGAUGUUGAACUACACGUUGCUGCUAUGUUAAUUGGCAAUAGUCUUGGUUUGAUUUGGAGCCAGUAAUAGGUUGCUGUAAAAUGCCAUUAAGUUAGGGAGCUUGCUUUUAUUAUAACAACAUUCAUGUACACUGACUCCUUCAGGAAAUGGAUGAUACUGUUGGGAUUUACACA
Salvia splendens (bonfire salvia) is the source of this 2527-nucleotide RNA transcript. It is a transcript of the gene named endo-1,4-beta-xylanase 1, with no coding region annotated. The transcript has 6 exons. Lineage: Eukaryota; Viridiplantae; Streptophyta; Magnoliopsida; Lamiales; Lamiaceae. The record is from RefSeq and is a predicted model, not a curated record.